UCCCCGGCGUUCCCCGGCGAAGUUGGACCAGGCAACCGGGAAAUUCUCCGACGAACGGCUCAUCAGCGUCGGAGGGCGGAGCAAGGUGUACCGUGGCCAGAUCGCCGACAGUUAAGUCGUCGCUGUGAAGAAGCUUCGGCCCCUCGGAGGCGCCGACGAAGACUACUAGUUCCUGUCAGAGAUCGAGCUGCUAUCACGGCUGAACGACUACCACGUGGUGCCAUUGCUGGGGUACUCCUCGGAGCGGCAGGGACGGCAGCUGGAGCGUCUGCUGGUGUUCGAGUGCAUGACCAACGGCAACCUGAGGGAGUGCCUGGACGACCUCAACAGGAAGCCCAUGGACUGGGCGACGCGCGUCGGCGUGGCGCUGGGCGCGGCGAGGGGCCUCGAGUACCUCCACGAGGCUGCGGCGCCGCGCAUCCUCCACCGGGACAUCAAGUCCACCAACAUCCUGCUCGACGACCGGUUCACGGACCUGGGCAUGGCCAAGUGCCUGAUGAACGACGGCGUGACCAGCUGCUUCAGCUCGCCGGCGCGCAUGCUGGGCACCUUCGGGUACUUCGCCCCCGAGUACGCCAUCGUCGGCAAGGCGUCGCUCAAGUCGUACGUCUUCAGCUUCGGCGUGGUGGUGCUGGAGCUCAUCACGGGCCGGCAGCCCGUGCACAAGAGGGGCGGCGCUGGCGCCAGCGGCGCGGGCACGGACGAGAGCUUGGUGAUGUGGGCGACGUCGCGGCUGCGGGACAGCAGGCUGGUGGUCGCGGAGCUGCCGGACCCGGCGCUGAAGGGCGGGUUCCCGCCCGAGGAGAUGCAGAUCAUGGCGCACCUGGCAAGGGAGUGCCUGCAGUGGGACCCCGAGGCCAGGCCCACCAUGGCCGAGGUCGUCCAGAUCCUCUCCACCAUCGCGCCCCUCGCCGACAAGCGCCGCCGCCACCACCUGCCCGCCGCCGCCGGCGCCUUCGCCCCGGGCUUCCGUGCCGAGAGGCGGCAGGAAUGCUCGGCGUGGCAGGACGGCGACGACGGCCAUCGCCGCGAUCACCUGCACGGAGGGAACGAUAG
RNAcentral lists this ribosomal RNA (1056 nucleotides) under Triticum aestivum (bread wheat). RNAcentral's name for it is "partial small subunit ribosomal RNA". Lineage: Eukaryota; Viridiplantae; Streptophyta; Magnoliopsida; Poales; Poaceae. The record is from RNAcentral.